RNAcentral lists this ribosomal RNA (462 nucleotides) under uncultured Oscillospiraceae bacterium. Its description in RNAcentral is "bacterial SSU rRNA". It matches the Rfam family "Bacterial small subunit ribosomal RNA", at positions 410 to 887 of the family's 1533-position model. Lineage: Bacteria; Bacillati; Bacillota; Clostridia; Eubacteriales; Oscillospiraceae. The record is from RNAcentral.
GAAGGUCUUCGGAUUGUAAACUUCUUUGAUGAGGGAAGAAUAAUGACGGUACCUCAAAAACAAGCCACGGCUAACUACGUGCCAGCAGCCGCGGUAAUACGUAGGUGGCGAGCGUUGUCCGGAAUUACUGGGUGUAAGGGGCGUGUAGGCGGGAUUGCAAGUCAGAUGUGAAAUUCCGGGGCUUAACCUCGGCGCUGCAUCUGAAACUGUGAUUCUUGAGUGCUGGAGAGGAUAGUGGAAUUCCUAGUGUAGCGGUGAAAUGCGUAGAUAUUAGGAGGAACACCAGUGGCGAAGGCGACUAUCUGGACAGUAACUGACGCUGAGGCGCGAAACCGUGGGGAGCAAACAGGAUUAAAUACCCUGGUAGUCCACGCCGUAAACGAUGGAUACUAGGUGUAGGAGGUAUCGACCCCUUCUGUGCCGGAGUUAACACAAUAAGUAUCCCACCUGGGGAGUACGGCC